AAUAGCCUAACGGCUGAACCAGCAACUUGGAAGAAUGUAAAAGCGAAAGCGAAUUGUAUAAAUACAAAUUAACUAUGUUAAAUAAAGUUCUAGAUAUAAUACUGAUGAUGACAUAUUGUAUCUAUAAGUCUUGACCAAGUCACGUGCCAGCAGUCGCGGUAAUACGUGGAAGACUAGUGUUAUUCAUCUUUAAUAGGUUUAAAGGGUACCUAGACAGUUAAUUAAGCCAUAAAGGUACUAAUAAACUAGAGUUUGAUAUGAGAAGGGGAGUACGAUGAGUGUAGAGAUAAAAUUCGAUAAUACCAUUUAGAAACUGGUAACGGCGAAAGCAACCUUUUAUGUAAAAA
This 347-nucleotide ribosomal RNA is filed under the name Phlyctis agelaea. RNAcentral describes it as "mitochondrial SSU rRNA". It matches the Rfam family "Bacterial small subunit ribosomal RNA", at positions 370 to 739 of the family's 1533-position model. The record is from RNAcentral. Lineage: Eukaryota; Fungi; Ascomycota; Lecanoromycetes; Phlyctidaceae.